Molecule: long non-coding RNA, 671 nt
Organism: Monodelphis domestica (gray short-tailed opossum)
Lineage: Eukaryota; Metazoa; Chordata; Mammalia; Didelphimorphia; Didelphidae
Source: RefSeq, a predicted model, not a curated record
CCUGGAAACACAGCACUGAGCGAGGGUUCCGGGGCCUUCUCUACUUCCCCACCACCUCUAGAGAACGGGUAGCAAAGGAUGGAGGGAGAGAAGCCUGCGUGCUGGGAUUAUGACGUCAGUCGAGAAGGAACAGAGUGACCUCCUUGGGAGUGAUAUGUUUAGCAGUUGGAUUUCUGGGACAAAUACUUUGGAAUAAUAAAGUGGAGGAAUUCCAUGGAGACUGGAACGACCUCUAGGAAGUGAUGCAGAGUGAAAGAAGAACCAGGAGAACAUUGUACACAGAGACUGAUAUACUGUGGUACAAUCGAAGGUAAUGGAGUUUUCUACUAGCAGCAAUAUAUGACCCAGAACAAUUCUGAGGGACUUAUGAGAAAGAACUCUAUCCACAUCCAGAGGAAGAACUGUGGGAGCAGAAACACAGAAGAAAAGCAACUACUUGAUCACAUGGUUCAAUGGGGAUAUGAUUGAGGAUGUAGACUCUAAGUCAUCACCCUAGUUCAGAUAUUAAUAAUAUGGAAAUAGGUCUUGAUCAAUGACACAUGUAAAACCCAGUGGCAUUGCUCAUUGGCUACAGGAGGGGGAUGGGAGGAGGGGAGAGAAAGAACAUGAAUCAUGUAACCAUGGAAAAAUUUUCUUAAUUAAAUAAAUUUUUUUUAAUUGUUGGCUGUGAA